GCGCUUGUAGCUCAGAUGGAUAGAGCGUCGGAUUGCGGAUCCGAAGAUCGGGGGUUCGAGUCCCCCCAAGCGCA
RNAcentral lists this transfer RNA (74 nucleotides) under Candidatus Aerophobota bacterium. RNAcentral describes it as "tRNA-Arg". It matches the Rfam family "tRNA". From Rfam's summary of the family: Transfer RNA (tRNA) molecules are approximately 80 nucleotides in length. Their secondary structure includes four short double-helical elements and three loops (D, anti-codon, and T loops). The record is from RNAcentral. Lineage: Bacteria; Candidatus Aerophobota.